Molecule: long non-coding RNA, 5135 nt
Organism: Peromyscus leucopus (white-footed mouse)
Lineage: Eukaryota; Metazoa; Chordata; Mammalia; Rodentia; Cricetidae
Exons: 2
Source: RefSeq, a predicted model, not a curated record
GCUACUAUUAUGAAUUGUAAUGUAAAUAUCUGAUAAGCAUGAUGGACAGGUUGAGAACCACGGAUUUAAGUACUUCUCUCUAUAAAAUGUAACUUCAAUAUAAAUUCCAUCAUUUUUUUCAUUGUUUCAUAUAUUAAAUCUUAUUUCAUUCUGCUAAGUCUUUGAACAAGAGAGGCAUAGGUCAUGCUACAUGGGGUCACAAAGUGUGGAAAAGGAAAUAAUUAGCAUACUUAUAAUCAAGACAGUGAUGAAAGAAAAGUGAAAGGACUGAUUUAUUUUUGAUGACCUACUUUGAACAUAAUCAGGAAUACAGAAUUGUUUUUAACUUAAAGUGGGAAAUAGGAGUAUAGAUAUAUUAUGCAAUUGAUCCAAUUUCAUGUAGGUAUAAAAUCAUGGCUUGGACUCAACAUAAAUUGUCUCUUAUUUCAAAGCCAGUGCUGUACCAUUAGUUGACCUGGUUAGCUUAAGGCAGGGAUUUAGGUGUUGAUGAUGAUAGGACAAAUAUUUGAAGAAUAGGUAUUGCUUGAUAUAUGCAUUGUGCUAGAGUUAGAGGCAGUAGAAUAUUGGAACAUGGCCAUUCCAGAUUGUUGGCUUGUUGAGUUAAGGGACAACCAAUUGAGUAUGCAUGUCUUCAUUUGUUUUCUCCUGAAGUUUUGGGGGCAAAUUAAAGAAAGAUAUCUGAGACAAAGUAAACACCAGGUUCACUGCCCACUUUUGAGAGAACAGAGUACAUACACUCUAAAAAGUUCAUAUACUCUUACUUCUUUCAGAGAACAGUUAAAUGCUUCUAAAUAAAUUCACAGAUUUUUGUUUUGAAAAUCACUCAUUACAUAUGUCUUUUUACUCAAAGCUAAAUUGUUAUUGUGGUCACGAUGCCCUGACUGAAUCCACAGGCCUCACUAGGUGAAUUUGGAUCAGUUAUUUAAAUGUCAGGGUGCCUACCAAAGGGGCUGUGGUGCAUUUCCCCUCACCCAUGGCUCCUUUGAUAAGCAAAGAAAGAAGCAUCUUGUAAGAUAAAUGAAUGGCAUGGAUGGAUAUAAUUAGAAGAAAAACACUUUUAGUGUAAUUUACUGACUGCUGUUAGACAACAUUCCUAAAAAUCCCAAGCCCAAAACACAUUUGUGCCAAACAAGAUGUUCAGCCCCAGUUGAUGAGUGCCACACAGAAGAGGAAGUGUUAGGUUAGUCGGAGGAACACUGGGCAGGACAUGAAUGUCAGGAUGAAGACGGGGGAGUAGCUGGUAACAAUUUGACUAUUUUGAGCAGAUGGGAAAAUAACAGCAGCUUUGCUGGAGAAGACCAUCUGCGAGUCAUGUGUAGGAUGUACUAUAAAGAGAAGAGUAGAGCAGGAAGGCCAGUCAGGAGGCUUGCUGCAGGGUUCAAGCAAAGCUAGCAAGACUUCAGACAAAAGCAAGGGUGAUAGGACAGACUUGCAUUUAAAUUCAAAGGACUACUCAUUUUCAAAGUGAUCUUUUUCAUUUCAACUGAAAUGGGUAGCAGACUAGAGGCCUGAUUAAAAUGCCCACCUAGAAGGAUGAGGGGAUGAUGGGAUGUGUACGUGUUUAGUAUCACCAGUCAGUUUUCUUUCUUCUCUAAAGUCCUGUCCUUUAUGACUUCUUCAUCUACUUUCUAAACUCUGUGAUGGUUACUGUGUUCUGUCAUUUAGACCUCACUGCCUCUGUGCUCUUCAGUUACUAUUGGAUCCCAGACACUAUUGUAGCUAUGUCACAAGUGUAGAUAUACAAGAAACAGCUAGAAAUGGAGAUAAUAACUUGAAAGUGCAGUUUAAGGAAAUAGAGGAAUCUUAGCAAUCAUUUGUGCAUUUAACCACCCCCAGGUGCAUUAGCACUUCUGAUCACAUCCAUCUAUUUUUUAGUUUUCUUUCUAACUACUAUCAAUGAAUUCAGCCUGUCUCAGAAUUUUGAAUCAUCUUGGUUAUUUUUCUUCAAUUAGGAACAAUCCCAAAAGAAUCCUGACCAUUAGGUGUCAUUCCUUUUUUUUUUUUAAUUUCAAUUAAUAUAAUCUUGUUGUGAUGUCUGAAGUAGAGCCCUGUGUGAGGAGUCUUGGGGAGAUUAUGUAAAGAAAGACUCCCUGGUGAUACAGAUAGGAAAGUACAAAGUCAUGAAGACAGAUCAAGAACUCUCAGAAAGAAAUACAGGAUUUCACAUAGUCACUCACUCAAUAUCCUUACACUUUGUAAGAAGAAUUAGAGAAAGAAAUUCUGAACAGAAUUAUUGAAUUCAGAAUGACAGCGCAUGACAUGUGGGAAAGAGCUUUGGAAAUUCAUGCUCAUCUUCCUUACCAAAACUAAACUAAAGAACCAGGAGGCAUUGAAUGUUACAGAGCCACUAUGAUGCAGAUCAUACAGUUGAUUCCCAGUCAUUAUUCAACAAUACUUUACUUCUUAUUGAUUCUGUGUUCCAGUAGCAGCAUUAUGUUCCAAAUCUUCCACAGGCUCAUUAAAACUCCAUUGACCACAAGCACCCUACACAGUGAUUCUCCAAUCUUCUUUCAUGGUAUCUCUCUCUACUUGGACUCCAUUGUGAGGCCAAGAAGGUGGAGGCUCCUUUUGAUAAGGAAGAAAUUGAUAUUAAACCCAUUCAUCCCCCAAGAUACCACAAUGAUUUCUCCUCUGUAAGUUAAACUUCCAGAUAUUCCAUCUCUCAAUUAUUGCUUAUUAUUUUGUCUCAGAAAUACCUCCUGGUUUGAACUGAUCACUGAACUCUGCAUGUCCUCUUUCAGACAAUAUCAUUGACCUUACUCCACCAGAUCCUAACAGUUUAAUAAGUAUAUGGUCAUUCCCAUUGUUCACAUUGCCAAUUAUUUUCAUUUUCCUCACUGAUUCUGGAUUCUGGAUGUGAUAAUAUUAAUUCUAUGUGGCAGACAGAAAUUAAGGUCAGACAAUUCUGAGGCCACAGCUGUGUUGAUUUGUGUUGAACUUUGAGGUUCUUAUUCUUGUGCACUGAUUUCUAGCUCUACGUUUCUGUUUUUCUAAUUGCUUGUGAAAACAGAGAGAAGCUGUUGGAGAAGUGGUGGGUUUUCCAGGCCAGAUGCUGGGAGCGGGGUGAAUUAUGAAUGUUUCCAACCAAAGUCAGAUAUGCUUUUAAUCCCUUCUCCCACAUUUGAACUAUUGAGAUUUCCACUCACAUAUAAAACCAUUUAAGAGUUGGGUCCUAGUUGCUUUUCCUUCAGAGUUCAAAUGACCUCCCAGGGGAAAAGUUCAGGAAUUGAAAAGACUGAAGAUGUUUGAAGUGAUGUCUAUCUCAUCUUCCCUCAUUGUGUGGAUUUUCAAGAAAAGUCUAGAUCCAGCUCUAGACAGUACAAAUACAAGCCUGAGAGAGGCUGCAUGAGCAACACAGCUGAGGUGAGCUUCCUGGACAUGAGUGCUUUUUUAAGUUCACCUGCUAGCAAACAGGUGUUACUGUAAACUGCUGCUCUAUUAUCAUUCCUUGGGCAAAGCUGGGCAGAAUAGCUGACAAAAUUUAUAGAACCAUGCAUAGUCUAGAAUAAAAUUCAGCUGAAGUUACAUAGCCCUCUGCCUGAUAAGACCUAGGAAUUCCCCAGCCUCAAUUCAUAUGUAUUGGGAGAUAUCCAAGCAGACUCACUACACAGAUAUAGUUGGGUUUGCUGGAACAUGCUCCUAAUUUUGAGUGCAGUGCAUUAGGCUUGCUCGCCAACAACUUGUAUACACAACUUUAGAGGACACACAUGGAUCAAAGUAAUGCAUAUUUUUGAGAAAGGAUCAAAGGAGAAAGUCACUGUGCAUAAAUUCUUGCUUGUCUUCCUGGGAGUCUUGCUUCAUUGGGAUAGUUUAUUCUGGUUUAAUGAGAUCCCAUAUAUAGAACACAGUAGCACUCAAUAUCUUUUAGCUCCCCCAUUAUAAUUUAAGCGCUUUAAUUUCAGCCAAAGUUUGAGCCUCCUACCACUUAAAGCAUGCUAACUGACUUUUACAACAAUGCAAAGAUAGAGAAAUGGAAGUUCCUUAUCACCGAAGGAACAUAUUUUCAUAACAAAAGGGAUUGUCACUGAGUUGCAUCUUCUCAGUUAGUGGGGUCAUGAGGAGUGUGGGAUAUAAUCACUGCCUAAUACGAUGUCUCUAUAUUAUUAAAACACCUCAUUGCAGCCUCUUGGCAUACAUCUAUAAUUCUAGCUCCUUGAGACAAUGAAACAGCAGGCUCACAGAUUCAAGGCACACCUAUGAUACCUAGGGAGUUUGAGACCAGCCUAGGCAACCUGUGAGACCACGUCUCAAAUUUCAAAAUAAGAGUACAGAGGGAUAGCCCAGUGAUAUAUCAUUUUCCUAGCAAGGCCCUAGGUUCAAACUCUUGCGUACUAAAAACAAUUAAGUUUACCUUGGAACACAAUGCAGGCCUGCAAGCAUGUCACUAAUUAAUGCCACAUACCAAUGCCAAUCAAACACAUCCACAUUAAUGGUCAUUAAACUCUUGUAAGACACAACAUUUUGUAUAGUAAUGUGUGAAAAAUCCAGUUAGGUGUAUUUCUCUUAUAAUAUAGAUAUAAAUAACAGUAGAAACAUCUUGUGUGCACUUUAAAUCAUACAUAAUCUAUAAACCACUAAAAUUAAUAUUGGAAAAUGACUGUAUUGUGAUGCCUAUAAUUGUCUCUUCACAUCCCAAAGGGUUCAUAUAAUGUAAAAGUCAUUACACAUAGACCUAUAGAUUUUGGAGGCUUUAUGCUCUGGGUACUGCAUACUGUUCUCAGGUUGAUAAAAUUUAGGAAUCUGUGCGCUCAGGUCAGAUCAGAACAAUGUCUGAACUCACUUAUGUCUAAGGGGCAGGUUCAGUGAGAGUGUGACAGAAGUCUGAACUGGCCCCAGGUCUUACUAUUCAGUAACCUCAUAUUAUUGGGCUGCUUCCAGAAACAGAAAACAGCAUGUGAAUUUAAAGCAACAUUUUAACUUCCCUAUGUUUUGAUUUUGUUUGCUUUUCAUUUCAAAUAGCAAGAAUCUGGAGGUGAGCCACUCCAAAAGCUGGUGAAUUCCAUUGCAGGAUCGAUCCAUUGUUGAGGCCUAUGGUUCUUGAUGUCUUUUCAUUGAGCCACUCUGAAUUAGCAGACUCUGUGGAUGAAUCGACUCAAUUUUUCAGAAGCUGCCACUGUUCUAGAUAGCUGUGGAGA